RNAcentral lists this ribosomal RNA (468 nucleotides) under uncultured bacterium. RNAcentral describes it as "partial 16S ribosomal RNA". It matches the Rfam family "Bacterial small subunit ribosomal RNA", at positions 28 to 507 of the family's 1533-position model. The record is from RNAcentral.
GACGAACGCUGGCGGCGUGCUUAACACAUGCAAGUCGAACGGAAAGGCCCUGCUUUUGUGGGGUGCUCGAGUGGCGAACGGGUGAGUAACACGUGAGUAACCUGCCCUUGACUUUGGGAUAACUUCAGGAAACUGGGGCUAAUACCGGAUAGGAGCUCCUGCUGCAUGGUGGGGGUUGGAAAGUUUCGGCGGUUGGGGAUGGACUCGCGGCUUAUCAGCUUGUUGGUGGGGUAGUGGCUUACCAAGGCUUUGACGGGUAGCCGGCCUGAGAGGGUGACCGGCCACAUUGGGACUGAGAUACGGCCCAGACUCCUAUGGGAGGCAGCAGGGGGGAAUAUUGCACAAUGGGCGGAAGCCUGAUGCAGCAACGCCGCGUGCGGGAUGACGGCCUUCGGGUUGUAAACCGCUUUCGCCUGUGACGAAGCGUGAGUGACGGUAAUGGGUAAAGAAGCACCGGCUAACUACGUG